RNAcentral lists this ribosomal RNA (238 nucleotides) under uncultured bacterium. RNAcentral describes it as "partial 16S ribosomal RNA". It matches the Rfam family "Bacterial small subunit ribosomal RNA", at positions 100 to 334 of the family's 1533-position model. The record is from RNAcentral.
CCGGCACGGGUGAGUAACGCGUAUGCAACUUGCCUAUCAGAGGGGGAUAACCCGGUGAAAGUCGGACUAAUACCGCAUGAAGCAGGGGCCCCGCAUGGGGAUAUUUGCUAAAGAUUCAUCGCUGAUAGAUAGGCAUGCGUUCCAUUAGGCAGUUGGCGGGGUAACGGCCCACCAAACCGACGAUGGAUAGGGGUUCUGAGAGGAAGGUCCCCCACAUUGGUACUGAGACACGGACCAA